RNAcentral lists this ribosomal RNA (407 nucleotides) under uncultured beta proteobacterium. Its description in RNAcentral is "bacterial SSU rRNA". It matches the Rfam family "Bacterial small subunit ribosomal RNA", at positions 9 to 416 of the family's 1533-position model. Lineage: Bacteria; Pseudomonadati; Pseudomonadota; Betaproteobacteria. The record is from RNAcentral.
GAGUUUGAUCCUGGCUCAGAUUGAACGCUGGCAGCAUGCCUUACACAUGCAAGUCGAGCGGCAGCGCGGGGGCAACCCUGGCGGCGAGCGGCGCACGGGUGAGUAAUGCAUCGGAACGUGUCCUCUUGUGGGGGAGUAACCAGUCGAAAGACUGGCUAAUACCGCAUGAGCACGAGAGUGGAAAGCGGGGGACCGUAAGGCCUCGCGCGAGAGGAGCGGCCGAUGCCGGAUUAGCUAGUUGGUGGGGUAAAGGCCUACCAAGGCGACGAUCCGUAGCUGGUUUGAGAGAACGACCAGCCAUACUGGGACUGAGACACGGCCCAGACUCCUACGGGAGGCAGCAGUGGGGAAUUUUGGACAAUGGGGGCGAACCCUGAUCCAGCCAUGCCGCGUGUGUGAAGAAGGCC